AAAAACCAAACAAGAAAAGACCAAGACAAACCCAAACAAACAAGAACAAACAAACAAAACCAAAAAGAAAACACCAAGCAAAAAAAACACCUCCCAAAACCCAGGAAAAGGUAGGGGCUCAGGAAAGAAGUUUUUCUGCCUGACUUUAUCCAGCUCCAGGUUCUUUCUUAGACAGAGUUCCCCCUUUGCAGGAGCAGUGUCCUAAAGUCUCUUUU
Long non-coding RNA from Motacilla alba alba, 215 nucleotides. RefSeq lists it as uncharacterized. The transcript is spliced from 2 exons. The record is from RefSeq and is a predicted model, not a curated record. Lineage: Eukaryota; Metazoa; Chordata; Aves; Passeriformes; Motacillidae.